GUUCUCUGUCAUGGGUCACUGGGAGCGAAGAGCUUGGGGUAGGGCUGGCUCAAGGGCAGUCACCUGGGGUACAAUCUGUCUGGGUGAUGUGCCAAACAAAGGGAAAGAUUUUAAAAAGUCCAUGUGUUCUGUCCAUGGUAUUUGGCAUAUAUAUCUAAUCGCUUAACUAAUUUCUCAUAUUUUACACUAUUUAUAUAUGUUAAAACUGCAGUGAUCUCUAUAAAUCUCUGAAAUUCUAUACAAUUUAAAACUGUAUGAUACAUGUGAAAAAUAUUGUUUGUAAACACUUAAUUAACAAUACUGUAUUAUAAAACUUCACUCAAUUCAGUUCAAUUUAAAUGCUUCACUGGCAUGCUGCAUACUGCAAAAUACAUAUUGCCAAAGCAUAGUGAUAAAUGAUCAAUCAUAGUAACAAUACAUCAAAAAGAACAAAUAUACAAAGCUGCAACAAAAACAGUAUAAAUAACAGUAAUAUUAUAUUUAUUAACUGUUAAAUAUUAUGUGAUUCAGUUUAUUAUUAUGUUUCCAAUAUGCACUGAUGCAUUAUUGAUAGAUGUUAACUCAUUGUCCCUCAGAUUGUGGCACACCAAAACAUACAGUUUUGAGCUGGGAGUGAGGUUGUUGGUCAUUCCUGAAAGAACUCAGUUUUUGUUCACCUUCUCAGGGAGGGAAUUUUGUUUUGGAAUUUUGAUGCCUUAUUAAAGUAUGUUUUUCUUAUAUUUUAAUAUUUUUCUCAAUACAGAAGGAAGUGCAUCUCUGUAUCUACGUCUCCUGUCUUACAGUAAACACAUAUGUGUGAUUUGUGUAACCAUGUUUUUUUUGCAUCUACCUUUUUCAGUUGCUAAGGUGUGGUCACUGAGCCUAUGGUCUCUCUCUCUCUCUAUUUCUCUCAGUUAAACUGUUUGUCUCUUGGAGGAAAUCUGGCUUCAGUGUGGAGUGAAGAAGAUGAUCAGUUUCUUAAGGACCUCCAAAGGCAAACGGGCCAUGACAAACCAUUCUGCAUUGGUCUGUCUGACACACGGUAUUGUCAUAAUAAUCAGCACAAUUUGUAGAAUCUUCACUUUUUACAAUAUGGUAAACACAUCUUUUCUUUUGUUGUCAUAGGAGGGAGAGCAGUUUAUCUUGGGCAUGUGACCCAAAAAUUGUCCCAAUUAUCAGAAAAAUGGUACAAUCAGUGAUCAGUUGUGACCAUCAUUAAAGCAGUUGUUUGAGAUGGAACACUGAGCGGGAGGAAGGAAUGUCUGACUGGGUGCAACAGUACCCUCCUGGUAAACUGUGCACUGACAGAGUCAAUUUAGAGGUACAGUCAUGUUGUUCAUGGAAUAUGGCAGUCUGGUGGGAAAGAUCAAUUUGUUUGAGAGUAGAGAGAUCAGAAUACAUGAAACAUACAAUUAGAUUUAACAGCUGAAAAAAAAUGACAAAAAAUUGUUUUAACAGGCACACAGCACCACAUUGCUUCAAAGCAAUCUGCUUCAUUCAAGUUACUGAAAAAUGAACAACAUACAUUCCAAAAGAAACCAUCAUUAUGUUUGGCAUAAGACAAGGCACUGAUAUUGAUAUGAUAUAAGUUUUGCAACAGAGCUGAAGAAAUCAAGAAAAAAACAUUGUGCAGAAGGAAGUGUAUUCAUAAUGUUUGAAUCUUGCAUUUAUAUUUAAUCUGUGUCAGCCUUUCAAUGUUUAAGCCUACACUGCUGCAAACUAUUUAAUUGUAAUGAUCAGUGUUAUUUUUUUUAAAAACUAUUUUUGUCCAAGUCAUAGAAUUUACAUUUUGCUUAGAAAGAAGGAAGGUGACUGCUCAGCAGAAUAAAAUAUCUGCUGUCUGUGCUUCUAUGUACUGAAAGUAGAACCUGACAGUGUGGGAAUAUUACUGUCAAUUAUCACACAUGCUUAAUUAGUGGCGAUUAAGGAAGAUUACUUGGGAGGGGAAAUGACCUCUUGGUGAGUGAUGACUAUUGCAGGUGAGAAAACUACCCAAGAUAAGCUGUGUCCCUAGACAUAGCCUUUUCGUACUCAUCUGUGUGUGUGUGUGUGUGCCUGUGUCUGUGUCUGUGUAUGUUGUUUUGAUGCAUUAAUUGACUGAUAUUUUAUGUGUAUCUGAUUUUUUUUUUUUUAGACAAAUGUAUAUUGUGUUACUGCAUUUUCCUCUCCCUUGUUCAGGAGGGAACAUGGCUGUGGUUUGAUGGUAGUCGUGUGGAAUUUACAAGCUGGAAUUCUGAAGAACCCAACAACUUGAAUGGAGAGCACUGUGUUGUUGCAAACUAUGGAAAAGAGAAGGGUUGGAAUGAUGUGCCAUGUGACACAAGUACUCAUGCUUCCAUGUGUUCUUUGCGGUUGUUCUGAUUUGGGCCUGAGCCGAGGAUAAUCAGCUCACUGAUACCCUCUUUUAAUAAAGUUCUCCAAGCAUUCAA
Long non-coding RNA from Anguilla rostrata (American eel), 2408 nucleotides. RefSeq lists it as uncharacterized. The transcript has 2 exons. The record is from RefSeq and is a predicted model, not a curated record. NCBI's taxonomy places the organism in Eukaryota, Metazoa, Chordata, Actinopteri, Anguilliformes, Anguillidae.